CUCGAAUGAUUAAAGUAAUCGAUUGCUCACAAGAGGCCCAUGUACCCUCCAAAUUCCAGAUAAUAAACUCACGAACUUUUUGGUUCGAAAGUGGGUAGUCCCCGUAUUCCCUUGGGCUUGGGAAGUUUUUGAUUCUUGGAAUUGGGAUUUUUUAAGGGUAAUUUGGGUAUUUUGGGGUUAAUGGGAAGUUUUAGGAUUUUUUGGAAUUUUUUGAAGAUUUUCUAAUUUUUGAGGUUGUUUUGAACAUUUUAAAUUUUAAGGAAGGGUAAUUUAGACAUGGAAUCACCCCCACGUCAGUAUAUGCAGCUUGGGCUGCCCCCCUCUCAAUACUAGGUCGACAAAAUUUUGGCUGCAUCAACUCUGCAUGAAGUCUCUUUAAAGAUGCAUGUAAAAUGGGCUGACUCGAUGUCGAAAACAUCCCAGGUUGGAUCACGAUUGAGGUUUGAAGGGCCCGAAGAAAUGACUAGGACCCAACCCCUUGCCACUCCAAACUAAACUUCUAAGGGUAUUCUAGAUAUUUUGGUGUUCUCGGGUAUAUGGGAAUUUUUGAGGAUUUUUCGAAUUUCUAAGGGUGUUUCGGGGAUUUUGAUAGAGUUGAGGGGUAGUUUGGGGACUAUGGGAUGGAUGCAGGGUAAUUUGAGAAGUUCAAAUUUUCUCUGUCUAGGACUAGGGUUUCUCUCUCUAGGUUAGGGCUUAAUAUUCUGACCUUUAAAAAUUAAGGUUAAGAGGGUGUUUAUAGACAUGGGAAAGUAUGGGCAGAAUACUAAAGUUGGUUGGUAAAAAAUCAAAAGCAUGGCGCAAAGGGAGUGGAUUAUUAGACAUAAAUUGGGGCUAAAAAUGACUAAAACAGACACUUAAACUUUGGAAUUUUCAAUGAUUUGUCCUUGAGGGGUUUUUCUUAUUCAUUCACCAUCAAAACCAUCCAACUCGACUAUUUCCCUUAUUUCAGCCAAAUUUCUUCUGUAAAAUUGUGGAGCAAUCAACCACGAUCAUUUUGUAACAAAUUUGAGAGAAAACUGUUCUCGAUUCCCCAAGUUCCACUCAUUUUAAGUUUCAUUUUUCCAUUUUUGAUAAAAAUUGCAUACUUAUUUAUAUACCUCAUCAUUGUGCUCAAAUUUAGCAGCUAUUUGACGAUCAAUUUAUAGAUUCUUGUGGACGAUGCCGAGACCGAUGUUUGGUGAGAAUUUCUGCUCAAGAUGAUGCUAGAUUGGAUAUAUAUUGUUAUUUUGUUUGUUACUAUUUUUAGUAAUUAUAGUCUCAUAGAUUUAGGUAAAUUCUCACUAGGAUU
RNAcentral lists this long non-coding RNA (1288 nucleotides) under Amborella trichopoda. RNAcentral's name for it is "long non-coding RNA (ATRI_LNC002345)". The record is from RNAcentral. Lineage: Eukaryota; Viridiplantae; Streptophyta; Magnoliopsida; Amborellales; Amborellaceae.